CCAGGCAAAGUUUUCACUGGGAUGAAAGUCGGGGGUGGAGAGAGUCAGUUCGUGAAGACUUUGAGGAAAAGCUUAAUGGCACAUCCUAGGGCCCCACGCUGCCUGGGGCUGGGGAGAAAAGGAGACUUCAGUGGUAAUCUCGCCUGUGUCCUCCACAGGGGACGCCCUUCUCCUGGCCACGGACGGAGCCUUUCCCUAAAUGUACAUUUCUUUGCUCUGUCGUUCUCCCACACCCCCUGCCCCUUAUGUUGAUCCCAAGAGAAGGCCACUUUUAUUCAUUGUUCUUCUCUUUUCCGGGUUGAGCUAACUUUAACAAUUGCCUAGACCUGACGAUGCUCAGAAGGUGAGUAAAUUACCACGCUGCCCAGCCCUUUGUUCGAAUAGUGGAGGAGGGCGGCGAUCCUUGUGAAAAUGCGCACUGAUGGUCCUGCACAGUGGCCGUGUCGACAUCGGACACCUGCGUUUUAGAAAAUCCGGAGCAAACGUCUGCAGGGACUUCCAGCAUGAUGCUGAAAGGGAGUGGAGAGAGGAGACGUCUUUGUUUUGUACCACUGCCUUUCUACUGCAUUAUAGUGGCUUUUAAUCUUCUAAAUUAGAUAAAUGGUAUGUCACCACUGCGUUUUGGUGGGGAGCUGAUCACACAGAUCUGUGGCCUGCAAAGCUCCCUUGAG
Molecule: non-coding RNA, 671 nt
Organism: Vicugna pacos (alpaca)
Lineage: Eukaryota; Metazoa; Chordata; Mammalia; Artiodactyla; Camelidae
Source: RefSeq, a predicted model, not a curated record